Molecule: transfer RNA, 65 nt
Filed under: Sthenias yunnanus
Lineage: Eukaryota; Metazoa; Arthropoda; Insecta; Coleoptera; Cerambycidae
Description: tRNA-Gly
Source: RNAcentral
AUUUACAUAUUAUAACAAUUAAAAUUGAUUUCCAAUCAAAAAAUCUAGAUUCACUAGUGUAAAUA